GAUGAACGCUGGCGGCGUGCCUAACACAUGCAAGUCGAGCGAACGGACGAGAAGCUUGCUCCUCUGAUGUUAGCGGCGGACGGGCGAGUAACACGUGGAUAACCUACUUAUAAGACGGGGAUAACUACGGGAAACCGGAGCUAAUACCGGAUGAUAUUUUGAACCGGAUGGUUCAAAAGUGAAAGACGGCUUUGCUGUCACUAAUAGCUGGAUCCGCGCUGCAUUAGCUAGUUGGUAAGGUAACGGCUUACCAAGGCAACGAUGCGUAGCCGACCUGAGAGGGUGAUCGGCCACACUGGAACUGAGACACGGUCCAGACUCCUACGGGAGGCAGCAGUAGGGAAUCUUCGGCAAUGGGCGAAAGCCUGACGGAGCAACGCCGCGUGAGUGAUGAAGGUCUUCGGAUCGUAAAGCUCUGUUAUUAGGGAAGAACAUAUGUGUAAGUAACUGUGCACAUCUUGACGGUACCUAAUCAGAAAGCCACGGCUAACUACGUG
This 497-nucleotide ribosomal RNA is filed under the name uncultured bacterium. Its description in RNAcentral is "partial 16S ribosomal RNA". It matches the Rfam family "Bacterial small subunit ribosomal RNA", at positions 28 to 507 of the family's 1533-position model. The record is from RNAcentral.